RNAcentral lists this ribosomal RNA (745 nucleotides) under Pseudomonas sp. Its description in RNAcentral is "bacterial SSU rRNA". It matches the Rfam family "Bacterial small subunit ribosomal RNA", at positions 50 to 790 of the family's 1533-position model. The record is from RNAcentral. Lineage: Bacteria; Pseudomonadati; Pseudomonadota; Gammaproteobacteria; Pseudomonadales; Pseudomonadaceae.
UACACAUGCAAGUCGAGCGGUAGAGAGAAGCUUGCUUCUCUUGAGAGCGGCGGACGGGUGAGUAAUGCCUAGGAAUCUGCCUGGUAGUGGGGGAUAACGUUCGGAAACGGACGCUAAUACCGCAUACGUCCUACGGGAGAAAGCAGGGGACCUUCGGGCCUUGCGCUAUCAGAUGAGCCUAGGUCGGAUUAGCUAGUUGGUGGGGUAAUGGCUCACCAAGGCGACGAUCCGUAACUGGUCUGAGAGGAUGAUCAGUCACACUGGAACUGAGACACGGUCCAGACUCCUACGGGAGGCAGCAGUGGGGAAUAUUGGACAAUGGGCGAAAGCCUGAUCCAGCCAUGCCGCGUGUGUGAAGAAGGUCUUCGGAUUGUAAAGCACUUUAAGUUGGGAGGAAGGGUUGUAGAUUAAUACUCUGCAAUUUUGACGUUACCGACAGAAUAAGCACCGGCUAACUCUGUGCCAGCAGCCGCGGUAAUACAGAGGGUGCAAGCGUUAAUCGGAAUUACUGGGCGUAAAGCGCGCGUAGGUGGUUUGUUAAGUUGGAUGUGAAAUCCCCGGGCUCAACCUGGGAACUGCAUUCAAAACUGACUGACUAGAGUAUGGUAGAGGGUGGUGGAAUUUCCUGUGUAGCGGUGAAAUGCGUAGAUAUAGGAAGGAACACCAGUGGCGAAGGCGACCACCUGGACUAAUACUGACACUGAGGUGCGAAAGCGUGGGGAGCAAACAGGAUUAGAUACCCUGG